CGCGUAGGCGGCUUUGUAAGUCCGUUGUGAAAUCCCUCGGCUCAACCGAGGAACUGCGACGGAUACUGCUUGGCUUGAGUCCCGGAGAGGGUAGCGGAAUUCCCAGUGUAGCGGUGAAAUGCGUAGAUAUUGGGAGGAACAUCGGUGGCGAAGGCGGCUACCUGGACGGGUACUGACGCUGAUGCGCGAAAGUGGAGGGCGAAC
This 204-nucleotide ribosomal RNA is filed under the name uncultured bacterium. RNAcentral's name for it is "partial 16S ribosomal RNA". It matches the Rfam family "Bacterial small subunit ribosomal RNA", at positions 568 to 773 of the family's 1533-position model. The record is from RNAcentral.